GAUGAACGCUGGCGGCGUGCCUAAUACAUGCAAGUCGAGCGAACGGACGAGAAGCUUGCUUCUCUGAUGUUAGCGGCGGACGGGUGAGUAACACGUGGAUAACCUACCUAUAAGACUGGGAUAACUUCGGGAAACCGGAGCUAAUACCGGAUGAUAUUUUGAACCGCAUGGUUCAAAAGUGGAAGACGGUCUUGCUGUCACUUAUAGAUGGAUCCGCGCUGCAUUAGCUAGUUGGUAAGGUAACGGCUUACCAAGGCAACGAUGCAUAGCCGACCUGAGAGGGUGAUCGGCCACACUGGAACUGAGACACGGUCCAGACUCCGACGGGAGGCAGCAGUAGGGAAUCUUCCGCAAUGGGCGAAAGCCUAACGGAGCAACGCCGCGGGAGUGAUGAAGGUCUUCGGAUCGUAAAACUCUGUUAUUAGGGAAGAACAUAUGUGUAAGUAACUGUGCACAUCUUGACGGUACCUAAUCAGAAAGCCACGGCUAACUACGUG
This 497-nucleotide ribosomal RNA is filed under the name uncultured bacterium. RNAcentral's name for it is "partial 16S ribosomal RNA". It matches the Rfam family "Bacterial small subunit ribosomal RNA", at positions 28 to 507 of the family's 1533-position model. The record is from RNAcentral.